RNAcentral lists this ribosomal RNA (433 nucleotides) under uncultured bacterium. Its description in RNAcentral is "partial 16S ribosomal RNA". It matches the Rfam family "Bacterial small subunit ribosomal RNA", at positions 29 to 506 of the family's 1533-position model. The record is from RNAcentral.
AGCGAACGCCGGCGGCAGGCCUAACACAUGCAAGUCGAACGAACCUUUCGGGGUUAGUGGCGGACGGGUGAGUAACACGUGGGAACGUGCCUUUAGGUUCGGAAUAACUCAGGGAAACUUGUGCUAAUACCGAAUGUGCCCUUCGGGGGAAAGAUUAAUCGCCUUUAGAGCGGCCCGCGUCUGAUUAGCUAGUUGGUUGAGGUAAUGGCUCACCAAGGCGACGAUCAGUAGCUGGUCUGAGAGGAUGAUCAGCCACAUUGGGACUGAGACACGGCCCAAACCCCUACGGGAGGCAGAGGGGGGGAAUCUUGCGAAAUGGGCGAAAGCCUGACGCAGCCAUGCCGGGGGAAGGAUGAAGGUUUUAGGUUGGUAAAAUUUUUUCACCGGGGAAGAUAAGGACGGUACCCGGAAAAGAAGCCCCGGCUAACUUCGU